RNAcentral lists this ribosomal RNA (433 nucleotides) under uncultured bacterium. Its description in RNAcentral is "partial 16S ribosomal RNA". It matches the Rfam family "Bacterial small subunit ribosomal RNA", at positions 29 to 507 of the family's 1533-position model. The record is from RNAcentral.
AACGAACGCUGGCGGCAUGCCUAACACAUGCAAGUCGAACGAAGGCUUCGGCCUUAUUGUCGCACGGGUUCGUAACGCGUGGGAAUCUGCCCUUUGGUUCGGAAUAACAGCUUGAAACGGCUUCUAAUACCGGAUGAUGACGAAAGUCCAAAGAUUUAUUGCGCGAGUAUGAGCCCGCGUUGGAUUAGGUAGUUGGUUUGGUAAAGGCCUCCCAAGCCGCCGAUACAUAGCUGGUCAUAGAGAAUGGUCAGCCACACUGAUGCUGAGACACGGCCCAGACUCUUACGGGAGGCAGGAGUGCGGGAUAUAGGAAAACGGGCGCAAGGAUGAAGGAGCACGGCCGGGAGAGUGAUGAAGUCCGUAGGGUUGUAAAGCUCUUUUACCCGGGAAGAUAAUGACGGUACCGAGAGAAUAAGCCCCGGCUAACUCCGUG